AGGUUUUAAAAAUCUACAGCGGAACAAUAGAUCUGCAACGGACGACGGUGGCCAAUUCAGACGCCCUUGUGCGGCGGGCCGAUGUCCCUGACUCACCUUGGCGGGGAAGUGGCGAUUGCAUCACGGAAGGGUUGGCGAGAUGUGUGCCUGCAAAUGUAUUUUCGUUGUUUUUUUACCGGUGGCUAGGGCUGGUUAUGAUGAAUUCAUGGUAUGUGUGCGUUUAGUUGCGUAUACGGCGACGACGACUCGACGG
This 253-nucleotide long non-coding RNA is filed under the name Erythranthe guttata (spotted monkey flower). RNAcentral describes it as "long non-coding RNA (EGUT_LNC000216)". The record is from RNAcentral. Lineage: Eukaryota; Viridiplantae; Streptophyta; Magnoliopsida; Lamiales; Phrymaceae.